UACGUAGGGUGCAAGCGUUGUCCGGAAUUAUUGGGCGUAAAGAGCUUGUAGGCGGUUUGUCGCGUCUGCUGUGAAAUUUCGGGGCUCAACCCCGAACUUGCAGUGGGUACGGGCAGACUAGAGUGUGGUAGGGGAGACUGGAAUUCCUGGUGUAGCGGUGAAAUGCGUAGAUAUCAAGCGGAACACCAGUGGCGAAGGCGAGUCCCUGGACAACUCCUGACACUGAGGCACGAAAGCUAGGGGAGCAAACAGG
RNAcentral lists this ribosomal RNA (253 nucleotides) under uncultured bacterium. Its description in RNAcentral is "partial 16S ribosomal RNA". It matches the Rfam family "Bacterial small subunit ribosomal RNA", at positions 524 to 776 of the family's 1533-position model. The record is from RNAcentral.